AUUUAAAUAAUUUAAUAUAAAAUAUUGAUUUGUGGAGUCAAAAAUAUGAAAUUUCAUUUUAAAUC
RNAcentral lists this transfer RNA (65 nucleotides) under Battus polydamas (gold-rim swallowtail). RNAcentral describes it as "trnA-His". The record is from RNAcentral. Lineage: Eukaryota; Metazoa; Arthropoda; Insecta; Lepidoptera; Papilionidae.